AAGAUCAUACUUUUAGGGAUCAGUUCUAAAGGUUGUUCUGCCGAGACGUCAGGUAACUCUGACAGGUCCGCAAACCGCGAGGACGAGACGUAGCCUCCCCUUCUGAGCGCGAAGCGGGUGGAGUGUCGUGGCUGGCUCUAGCUACGUCACUGCACCAUUGAUGACCGUUCCUCUCCUCCCUGUGUGGGGAGCUGGAGGAAGGGGCGGCAUUCUGAGCGGU
Molecule: small nucleolar RNA, 220 nt
Filed under: Pomacea canaliculata
Lineage: Eukaryota; Metazoa; Mollusca; Gastropoda; Architaenioglossa; Ampullariidae
Description: small nucleolar RNA U3
Rfam family: Small nucleolar RNA U3
About the family: Small nucleolar RNAs (snoRNAs) are involved in the processing and modification of rRNA in the nucleolus.
Source: Rfam by way of RNAcentral